UGAGUUGGUUAGACAAUCGCUGGUUUAUUGAAGCCCUUAACCGUUUGCAAGAACGACCUAGUGGGACAAGUAAACGAGAGGAAAGUCCGAGCUACACAGGGCAGAGUGCCAGAUAACGUCUGGGAGGCGUGAGCCUACGACUAGUGCAACAGAGAGCAGACCGCCAGUUUCGGCUGGUAAGGGUGAAAGGGUGCGGUAAGAGCGCACCGCGUGAGUGGUAACAUUUCACGGCACGGUAAACUCCACUCGUAGCAAGACCAAAUAGGAAUCCAACGAGUUGCCCGCUUGGGAUUCGGGUAGGUUGCUUGAGCGUAUGUGUGAAUGUACGCCUAGAGGAAUGAUUGUCCACGACAGAACUCGGCUUAUCGACCGACUCAGCCU
Molecule: RNase P RNA, 381 nt
Filed under: Glaesserella parasuis
Lineage: Bacteria; Pseudomonadati; Pseudomonadota; Gammaproteobacteria; Pasteurellales; Pasteurellaceae
Description: RNase P RNA component class A
Rfam family: Bacterial RNase P class A
About the family: Ribonuclease P (RNase P) is a ubiquitous endoribonuclease, found in archaea, bacteria and eukarya as well as chloroplasts and mitochondria. Its best characterised activity is the generation of mature 5'-ends of tRNAs by cleaving the 5'-leader elements of precursor-tRNAs.
Source: RNAcentral